GCACACAACGUUAUCCCAACGUUAUCUAAAGGUUGUAUUUAGGUUAAGUCAUGACUUAACAUUAAUACAACGUUCCCACCACAUUGUAGUUCUUAGCCUAAAUGAGAACACGUUGUGUCAACGUUGGUGGAACGUCGCCAAUCAACGUUCCUUAUCCACGUUGUAGGAACGUUAUAUGCUGACAUUGCCGCCACGUUGGUUAAACGUUGCCGUUUAACGUUCCUUCUCCACGUUGUGGGAACGUUUUAUGCUGACAUUGUCGCAACGUUGGUUAAAUGUUGCUGAUUAACGUUUCUUAUCCACGUUGUAGGAACGUUUUAUGCUGACAUUGCCGCAACGUUCGAUAAAAAAUAAUUUUUCGUUGAGGCAAUGUUAUAUUUUAACGUCGCAGUAACGUUGUCUUACGACGUUCGGCUACAAGUGAUUCAACGUUACAAAAACAUUGCUUAUGAACGUCGCUGCAACGUUGAAACUCAACUUUCGCAAGUGGCAUAUAUAAAUGAUAAAGAAAUUAUUAAUUUAGCAAAGAUCGCAUCAGUAUGUAUAUAUCAUGCUCCCUGAUGAUGGCUCGAUCUGAAAGAGAGUUGAUAGAAUUUCUCAUAAUGAUAAAUAUAUUUGAACUUGACGGUUGCCUUGAGUAAAGUUUAAUUUCAGCGACCUCGUGUGUAUCAUAUGUAGGCCUAAAUAAGGCUAAGAUUGUUUCAAUUUGCGCCGUUUUCAUAAUGAAAUCAUACGCCGAUAUCGUCUAAAGAGCAAGGCCGAAAUGGCAAUGACGGUAAAUAUGAUUUUAUACGGUUUUUUAAUUUAAAUUUUGAGACAUAAAAUGAGUUUUAAAAUGAAAUGUUUUGCCCCGGCUCUAUAUAAAAUAUAUAGUGUGUCGUGUGUCGACUUUGUGUUUGUUUGUCCAAAUUCCUGUUAUUUGAUACACGUGCAUUGACCGUCGGAAAGGUGGAUGGAAAGCAAUGAGUCCAAAUAUGGUCAUUAAUGCCAUAUACGGUUACUGAAAUAACUGAUUCGGUUGCUGGCGCCAACUGUCAUUGUGCUUGCGUCGAAGCGAACAAAACGUAUUGUGUGUAGACUAGCUUUUUCAAGAGGUAUAUUUUUCAAUUUGAGUACUCGUUUGUUUGUUUGGCAACUUUCUCGACGUCUACAACCGACUGCGUCUGUAUUAGCAGCAUUAUUGGAAAUUCUGUCUUCUGAGAUCUCUCGUGUGUUGGAUUGUUUGAUAAAGUAACAAUUCCAGUCUUAUGUAAAGGAUCGCAAGAACGGGACAAAUCAAGCUUAGAAAUGAUUUAACACGUGCGAGAUGACAUUGUCUUUUCUGAUUUCUCAUAUUUCUAUCGCCAUAUAUACUGUACCUAUGAUUUAUCAAUAUUCGGAAUGUACAGCUGAUUCAAAUAAGGUUGUCCUUUCACAACCUUAAACGUUAAACUUUGAGCGCGCCUAUUAACCUUAAACACUAAUUAAAAUAAUUAAAUUGCCUUUCAGCAAGUAUGCUUUAAAAAAUCUGUCGUGAGUCUUCUAUGUCUUGCCAGGGUUUUAUUGCAGUCUAUAGUCUAAAUAUGCAAAGAACCAUCAUCCGUUGAGCGUUCAAGGUCUAACGUUUAUAGUUAUAGAAGGACAACGUUAAUUGAAUCAGCUGUAAGUAAAUAAGAUAGUGUAAUUGUUGUAAAUCAAACAAUUUUCCAAAUACAGG
This 1696-nucleotide long non-coding RNA is filed under the name Dendronephthya gigantea. RNAcentral's name for it is "uncharacterized LOC114543230". The record is from RNAcentral. Lineage: Eukaryota; Metazoa; Cnidaria; Anthozoa; Malacalcyonacea; Nephtheidae.